This 211-nucleotide unclassified non-coding RNA is filed under the name plant metagenome. Its description in RNAcentral is "partial contains small subunit ribosomal RNA, internal transcribed spacer 1, and 5.8S ribosomal RNA". The record is from RNAcentral.
UUUCCGUAGGUGAACCUGCGGAAGGAUCAUUCAUAAUAAAGUGUUUUAUGGCACUUUUUAAAAAUCCAUAUCCACCUUGUGUGCAAUGUUAGAUCUCGUCAAUCUUGGCGAGAUUUUCAUACAUCAACUCAUUCUUUAACUAAUUUGUCUGAAAAAUAUUAUGAAUACUUAAUUCAGAAUACAACUUUCAACAACGGAUCUCUUGGCUCUC